CCUACGGGAGGCAGCAGUGAGGAAUAUUGGUCAAUGGACGAGAGUCUGAACCAGCCACGUAGCGUGAAGGAUGACUGCCCUAUGGGUUGUAAACUUCUUUUAUAUGGGAAUAAAAUGUUCCACGUGUGGGUUUUUGUAUGUACCAUAUGAAUAAGGAUCGGCUAACUCCGUGCCAGCAGCCGAGGUAAUACGGAGGAUCCGAGCGUUAUCCGGAUUUAUUGGGUUUAAAGGGAGCGUAGGUGGAUUGUUAAGUCAGUUGUGAAAGUUUGCGGCUCAACCGUAAAAUUGCAGUUGAAACUGGCAGUCUUGAGUACAGUAGAGGUGGGCGGAAGUCGUGGUGUAGCGGUGAAAUGCUUAGAGAUCACGAAGAACUCCGAUUGCGAAGGCAGCUCACUGGACUGUAACUGACACUGAGGCUCGAAAGUGUGGGUAUCAAACAGGAUUAGAUACCCCUGUAGUC
Molecule: ribosomal RNA, 460 nt
Filed under: uncultured bacterium
Lineage: Bacteria
Description: partial 16S ribosomal RNA
Rfam family: Bacterial small subunit ribosomal RNA
Source: RNAcentral